This 579-nucleotide ribosomal RNA is filed under the name uncultured bacterium. RNAcentral describes it as "partial 16S ribosomal RNA". It matches the Rfam family "Bacterial small subunit ribosomal RNA", at positions 356 to 932 of the family's 1533-position model. The record is from RNAcentral.
UGGGAAUUUUGGACAAUGGGCGCAAGCCUGAUCCAGCCAUGCCGCGUGCGGGAAGAAGGCCUUCGGGUUGUAAACCGCUUUUGUCAGGGAAGAAAUCUUCUGAGUUAAUACCUCGGGAGGAUGACGGUACCUGAAGAAUAAGCACCGGCUAACUACGUGCCAGCAGCCGCGGUAAUACGUAGGGUGCAAGCGUUAAUCGGAAUUACUGGGCGUAAAGCGUGCGCAGGCGGUUUUGUAAGACAGAGGUGAAAUCCCCGGGCUCAACCUGGGAACUGCCUUUGUGACUGCAAGGCUUGAGUGCGGCAGAGGGGGAUGGAAUUCCGCGUGUAGCAGUGAAAUGCGUAGAUAUGCGGAGGAACACCGAUGGCGAAGGCAAUCCCCUGGGCCUGCACUGACGCUCAUGCACGAAAGCGUGGGGAGCAAAACAGGAUUAGAUACCCUGGUAGUCCACGCCCUAAACGAUGUCAACUGGUUGUUGGGAAGGUUCCUUCUCAGUAACGUAGCUAACGCGUGAAGUUGACCGCCUGGGGAGUACGGCCGCAAGGUUGAAACUUAAAUGAAUUGACGGGGUCAUAGCUG